AAGAAGAAAAGUUAGUGGGUUUUAGUUACUUAUUUUGAAAUGUAAAUAGCGCAACAGGUGCCAUAUACAAACUGCCUUUUUUUCGUUUUAGUUUACUUAUUGUGAAAUGUAAAUAUGUCCCACUGCUCAAUUUUUAACGGGACUCCAGGUUUUAGUUACUUAUUAUGAAAUGUAAAUUUGGUUCCUUUGGAAAACAACAAUAACGUGUAGUAUUGUUUUAUUCAAUCAUUCAGAAUUGGUAAAUGCAGAAGCAGCAAAAUAACCAAAAGUAAUGACUUUCGUUUUAAUUUCUUAAGAUGAAAUAUAAAUGAAAACCUGUUAUACAUAGGAUUAUCUAUUUCCGUUAUAAUUAUUCCUUGCAA
Molecule: small RNA, 362 nt
Filed under: Listeria monocytogenes FSL N3-165
Lineage: Bacteria; Bacillati; Bacillota; Bacilli; Caryophanales; Listeriaceae
Description: Listeria sRNA rliB
Rfam family: Listeria sRNA rliB
Source: Rfam by way of RNAcentral